Molecule: ribosomal RNA, 516 nt
Filed under: Fusarium sp. F-265,963
Lineage: Eukaryota; Fungi; Ascomycota; Sordariomycetes; Hypocreales; Nectriaceae
Description: eukaryotic LSU rRNA
Rfam family: Eukaryotic large subunit ribosomal RNA
Source: RNAcentral
UUUGAAAUCUGGCCCCUGGGUCCGAGUUGUAAUUUGUAGAGGAUGCUUUUGGUGCGGUGCCUUCCGAGUUCCCUGGAACGGGACGCCAUAGAGGGUGAGAGCCCCGUCUGGUUGGACACCAAGCCUCUGUAAAGCUCCUUCAACGAGUCGAGUAGUUUGGGAAUGCUGCUCUAAAUGGGAGGUAUAUGUCUUCUAAAGCUAAAUAUUGGCCAGAGACCGAUAGCGCACAAGUAGAGUGAUCGAAAGAUGAAAAGCACUUUGAAAAGAGGGUUAAACAGUACGUGAAAUUGUUGAAAGGGAAGCGCUUGUGACCAGACUUGGGCCCGGUUAAUCAUCCACCGUUCUCGGUGGUGCACUUGGCCGGCCCAGGCCAGCAUCAGUUCGGCGCGGGGGAUAAAGGCGUCGGGAAUGUGGCUCCCCCGGGAGUGUUAUAGCCCGUCGUGCAAUACCCUGUGCUGGACUGAGGUUCGCGCAUCUGCAAGGAUGCUGGCGUAAUGGUCAUCAGCGACCCGUCUU